Setaria italica (foxtail millet) is the source of this 575-nucleotide long non-coding RNA. RefSeq lists it as uncharacterized. Lineage: Eukaryota; Viridiplantae; Streptophyta; Magnoliopsida; Poales; Poaceae. The record is from RefSeq and is a predicted model, not a curated record. The transcript is spliced from 3 exons.
CUCAACUACCCAAGCUUCCGACAUUGGACGAUGAGACUUAUUUUGAUUCAAAUCCUAUUCAAGAAAGUGCAGCAGAUACAAUCCUUACAGCCUCAAAGUUCGUUUUGGGGCUCUCUGCAUAUAUCGAUGGUGUGUUACUAAAACAAUGCUCGGGAAUUUUGAUGGAGUGGAGUGAGGGCACUGGAACCAUUUUAACGACUGCGGAUCUAAUUUGCUCAAGGCAUCAACAUGUGGAUGAGUGGUUAGGCGGAGAAGAAUAUGCUCCAAAUGCUGAGGUAAUGUUCAGAGGGACUUAUUGGGCAAGAGCAUGGGCGAUGCUAUCUAAGGAGGAAGAGAAAAUUGAUUUGAAGAAGAACUGUAGCAGACUUGAAAUUACUGCUUUGGAUUUCUUCCAUAAAUAUGGAUGGAACUUUAGGAGAAGAUUGAUGUCUUAGGCUGUCUGGCGUCAGGGCAGAUCUUGAAAGGUUUAUGUGCUGAUGGCGUGGGUCUUUCUUCAGUUUACCUGGAAGCUGUCUCUAGAUCUGGGACCUUGGUCUGUUUUAGUUCGAUCCUAAGAAGUAUCACAGAUCUUGUUU